GCCUCUGGUUGUAUGUGCUCGCUUCCGACAUUCUUAUCCAUACACCUGUGCACCUCUGAGGGUAAAUUUUGGAGCUUCAUUGCUUUAGAUUUCCCUCUUCUUUUUACAAACCCAUUAUUAAAUAUUGAACGUGAUAGUGCCGCAAGGCCUUAAAUCUUAAUACAACUUUUAACAACGGAUCUCUUGGCUCUCGCAUCGAUGAAGAACGCAGCGAAUUGCGAUAAGUAAUGUGAAUUGCAGAAUUCAGUGAAUCAUCGAAUCUUUGAACGCAUCUUGCGCUCUCUGGUAUUCCGGAGAGCACGCCUGUUCGAGUGUCGUGAAAUUAUCAAACUGGGAUUGGCUUUAUUGCUAUUUCGGUUUGGAUUUGGACUCUGCUGUGUUACUACGGCUGGUCUUAAAAGUAUUAGCUGGCUCUUGAUUAUGAGUUUGGUUCUACUCGGCGUGAUAAUUUAUCUGACCGCUGAGGACAUCUUUCGGGAUGGCCAGGCUUCUUUCUAUGAGCUGCUUCUAAUUUGGCUAAUGGAUUCUUCUGAAUCUG
This 538-nucleotide ribosomal RNA is filed under the name uncultured Cantharellales. RNAcentral describes it as "eukaryotic LSU rRNA". The stretch from base 164 to 317 matches the Rfam family "5.8S ribosomal RNA". Lineage: Eukaryota; Fungi; Basidiomycota; Agaricomycetes; Cantharellales. The record is from RNAcentral.